RNAcentral lists this ribosomal RNA (295 nucleotides) under uncultured bacterium. RNAcentral describes it as "partial 16S ribosomal RNA". It matches the Rfam family "Bacterial small subunit ribosomal RNA", at positions 775 to 1067 of the family's 1533-position model. The record is from RNAcentral.
GGAUUAGAUACCCUGGUAGUCCACGCCCUAAACGAUGUGUGCUAGUUGUUAGUCCCUCAGGGAUUAGUGACGCAGCUAACGCAUUAAGCACACCGCCUGGGGAGUACGGCCGCAAGGUUAAAACUCAAAGAAAUUGACGGGGACCCGCACAAGCGGUGGAGCAUGUGGUUUAAUUCGAAGCAACGCGAAGAACCUUACCAACCCUUGACAUCCUGGUCGCGGAUCGCAGAGAUGCUUUCCUUCAGUUCGGCUGGACCAGUGACAGGUGCUGCACGGCUGUCGUCAGCUCGUGCCG